AGCUCACGUAGCUUAGUGGUAGAGCAUUCGCCUCGCAUGCAGAAGGUCCCAGGUUCAAGCCCCAACACCUCCAGGUGUGGCUG
Non-coding RNA from Podarcis lilfordi (Lilford's wall lizard), 83 nucleotides. NCBI's taxonomy places the organism in Eukaryota, Metazoa, Chordata, Lepidosauria, Squamata, Lacertidae. The record is from the annotation of a GenBank genome assembly.